RNAcentral lists this non-coding RNA (120 nucleotides) under uncultured Eisenbergiella sp. Its description in RNAcentral is "FMN riboswitch (RFN element)". It matches the Rfam family "FMN riboswitch aptamer (RFN element)". Rfam says of the family: The RFN element is a highly conserved domain that is found frequently in the 5'-untranslated regions of prokaryotic mRNAs that encode for flavin mononucleotide (FMN) biosynthesis and transport proteins. This element is a metabolite-dependent riboswitch that directly binds FMN in the absence of proteins. In Bacillus subtilis, the riboswitch most likely controls gene expression by causing premature transcription termination within the 5' untranslated region of the ribDEAHT operon and precluding access to the ribosome-binding site of ypaA mRNA. The record is from RNAcentral. Lineage: Bacteria; Bacillati; Bacillota; Clostridia; Lachnospirales; Lachnospiraceae.
UUCUUCAGGGUCGGGUGAAAGUCCCAACCGGUGGUAUAGCCCACGAGCGCCGUCAACUGCGUUGGCGGGGCAGAUUCGGUGAAACUCCGAGGCCGACAGUACAGUCUGGAUGAAAGAAGA